This 1449-nucleotide long non-coding RNA is filed under the name Equus caballus (horse). Its description in RNAcentral is "lncRNA (ENSECAG00000055878.1)". The record is from RNAcentral. Lineage: Eukaryota; Metazoa; Chordata; Mammalia; Perissodactyla; Equidae.
CUGAAAUCCUGGCGUGACGUGGCUGGAUCUUGCACGAUCUGAGGACCCCUGCACUGAUGACUGGGACAGGUCCAGAUCUUUCCUAUAAAUAUAUUAAGAUUCGGAUCAGUCCUGAGCAGCAGUUAGGCCAACGCCACCCCUCGCUGCCCUGGCGCCGUCUCUCACCGACCUCAGCAGCUCUUCAUGCAGAUGACGGACCCCAUGGCGUCGGGUGGCUGAGAGGAUGCAGCUUCUCAGGACUCUGCACUGGAUGGCUGAUAGAUGGGAAGCAUUUCGGGUGUAAGGACCUUCCAGCGCUUCGCGGGUGCCACAGAAAGCUGACGCGAUACGGCGACCAUGACGACAUUGUAAUAGAGACAGAGGUGGCCUCGCGAGAAGAGCAGGUCCCGCCUUCAGGUGUUGGGUACUCAGCUGAGAUGGGAGACCCCACGGUGGGGGAUGAACGGCCCUGGGACGUGGAGGAGACAAAGGGACCCAGAUCCAAGGCGGGUCUUUCCCGCUUUGGGACUCAGAGUCCCGGCGGGCUCGUAGGGACGCGGGAGAUGACACAGGGAACGGCUCUCUCUGAGCCCCAGUUGCCCCCUCUGUUAAACGGGAUGAGAAUGCUCAAACCCCAGGAUCGCUGGGAGCGUUCAGUGACAACACCUCUUCAUGCUGCUGGCCGAGCUCCUAUCAGGCGUCUGAAGGAGGCAGCUUCUGAGGAUCUGUGUCUCCAUGACUGCUGAACCAUCUGCUCCAGAUUCAAGGGCAGCCAUCCUCAGGAGACCACGACACUUCACAUCCCUGCUUGGAUAUGAGGCCUGGUCCGAUGGGCCGUCAGAGGAGGGUGUGGACUCUGAGCCUCAGAAGCAGGAGCUGACAGAGAAGAACCAAGUGUGCUGGCGCGUGUGCAGACAGGUUCCUGGAGCAAGAGUGAGGAGAUCAGGGUCCCAUCACUGGGACACUUUAGAUAAUUUGCAAAGCCAUGUAGCCAGAGCAUGUGCAGAAGAAGAAAUCUUGACCUGAAAUGACCACAAAACUGGAGAUUCUCCUUCCCAUGGAACGAAAGCACCAGGGCAUGACCAGAACUUAAAAGUCAGAUUCAUAUCAGAAGCCAGGGUCCAUCAUUCAGGCAGAUCCUGUGUUAAAAUUACUUCCUCACAUUUCUAUAAAAGUUUAGAACCUGACCAUAAAUACUUGAAGUCCACCAAUCAAAACCUGUCCCGCAAGCAUUUCCACAUGCCAGGCUGUUCUCCCUAACCUCUAAAUUUCGCCCCAAAUCCUGAAGUGGGGAGACAGAUCAGAGGGUACAUGCCCCCAUCUCCCUCCAGAUCAAUCACACAGAAUAAAGCUGAUUUCUUUUCCCAAAUGAUGAUGCCAUAAUAAUUGGCUUCUAUUUUAAAAUAUUCAUCAAGUAGGAGAACCCCAUUUGUGUGGUAACAAAUUUUGGCAACCAAGAAGAGAGAAGGU